CCGUCAGGUUUACUUUGAAAAAAUUAGAGUGCUCAAAGCAGGCUUUUCACGCUUGAAUAUUCGUGCAUGGAAUAAUGGAAUAGGAACUCGGUUCUAUCUUGUUGGUUUUCGGAAACCGAGUUAAUGAUUAACAGGGACAAUUGGGGGCAUUAGUAUUCAGACGACAGAGGUGAAAUUCUUGGACCGUCUGAAGACUGACUACUGCGAAAGCAUUUGCCAAGAGUGUUUUCAUUAAUCAAGAACGAAAGUUAGAGGUUCGAAGGCGAUCAGAUACCGCCCUAGUUCUAACCAUAAACGAUGCCAGCUAGCGAUCUGCCGAGUUUUUUUUGUAGGCUCCGCAGGAAGCUUUCGGGAAACCAAAGCUUUUGGGUUCCGGGGGAAGUAUGGUUGCAAAGCUGAAACUUAAAGGAAUUGACGGAAGGGCACCACCAGGAGUGGA
RNAcentral lists this ribosomal RNA (439 nucleotides) under uncultured marine eukaryote. RNAcentral describes it as "SSU rRNA". It matches the Rfam family "Eukaryotic small subunit ribosomal RNA", at positions 743 to 1180 of the family's 1831-position model. The record is from RNAcentral.